GGUGAGAAAUAGAUUUACAAGGGAUUUUAAAAGGGUUUUAAAAUAUUUUAAAAAGGUUUUAAAAUAUUUUAAAAGAUUUACAAGAGAUUUUAAAAGGGUUUAGAAGAUUUACAAAAGAUUUCAGA
This 125-nucleotide small RNA is filed under the name Arabidopsis thaliana (thale cress). Its description in RNAcentral is "ATSL031730". Lineage: Eukaryota; Viridiplantae; Streptophyta; Magnoliopsida; Brassicales; Brassicaceae. The record is from RNAcentral.